GGAUUAGAUACCCUGGUAGUCCACGCCGUAAACGAUGUCUACUAGCCGUUGGGGAACUUGAGUCCUUAGUGGCGCAGCUAACGCACUAAGUAGACCGCCUGGGGAGUACGGCCGCAAGGUUAAAACUCAAAUGAAUUGACGGGGGCCCGCACAAGCGGUGGAGCAUGUGGUUUAAUUCGAUGCAACGCGAAGAACCUUACCAGGACUUGACAUCCAGAGAACUUUCUAGAGAUAGAUUGGUGCCUUCGGGAACUCUGUGACAGGUGCUGCAUGGCUGUCGUCAGCUCGUGCCG
RNAcentral lists this ribosomal RNA (293 nucleotides) under uncultured bacterium. Its description in RNAcentral is "partial 16S ribosomal RNA". It matches the Rfam family "Bacterial small subunit ribosomal RNA", at positions 775 to 1067 of the family's 1533-position model. The record is from RNAcentral.